AUACGGAGGAUCCGAGCGUUAUCCGGAUUUAUUGGGUUUAAAGGGUGCGUAGGUGGUUUGAUAAGUCAGCGGUGAAAGUUUGCAGCUUAACUGUAACAAUGCCGUUGAAACUGUCGGACUUGAGUGUAAAUGAGGUAGGCGGAAUGCGUGGUGUAGCGGUGAAAUGCAUAGAUAUCACGCAGAACUCCGAUUGCGAAGGCAGCUUACUAAGCUACAACUGACACUGAAGCACGAAAGCGUGGGGAUCAAACAGGAUUAGAUACCCUGGUAGUCCACGCAGUAAACGAUGAUUACUAGCUGUUUGCGAUACACAGUAAGCGGCACAGCGAAAGCGUUAAGUAAUCCACCUGGGGAGUACGCCGGCAACGGUGAAACUCAAAUGAAUUGGCGGGG
Molecule: ribosomal RNA, 393 nt
Filed under: uncultured bacterium
Lineage: Bacteria
Description: partial 16S ribosomal RNA
Rfam family: Bacterial small subunit ribosomal RNA
Source: RNAcentral